Molecule: ribosomal RNA, 937 nt
Filed under: uncultured Bacillota bacterium
Lineage: Bacteria; Bacillati; Bacillota
Description: bacterial SSU rRNA
Rfam family: Bacterial small subunit ribosomal RNA
Source: RNAcentral
GGAUCCAGACUUUGAUCAUGGCUCAGGACGAACGCUGGCGGCGUGCUUAACACAUGCAAGUCGAACGGAGAACUUAUUUCGGUAAGUUCUUAGUGGCGAACGGGUGAGUAACGCGUGGGCAACCUGCCCUCCAGUUGGGGACAACAUUCCGAAAGGGAUGCUAAUACCGAAUGUGCUCCCUCCUCCGCAUGGAGGAGGGAGGAAAGAUGGCCUCUGCUUGCAAGCUAUCGCUGGAAGAUGGGCCCGCGUCUGAUUAGCUAGUUGGUGGGGUAACGGCUCACCAAGGCGAUGAUCAGUAGCCGGUCUGAGAGGAUGAACGGCCACAUUGGGACUGAGACACGGCCCAAACUCCUACGGGAGGCAGCAGUGGGGAAUCUUCCGCAAUGGACGAAAGUCUGACGGAGCAACGCCGCGUGAGUGAUGAAGGUCUUCGGAUUGUAAAACUCUGUUGUUAGGGACGAAAGCACCGUGUUCGAACAGGUCAUGGUGUUGACGGUACCUAACGAGGAAGCCACGGCUAACUACGUGCCAGCAGCCGCGGUAAUACGUAGGUGGCAAGCGUUGUCCGGAAUUAUUGGGCGUAAAGAGCAUGUAGGCGGGCUUUUAAGUCUGACGUGAAAAUGCGGGGCUUAACCCCGUAUGGCGUUGGAUACUGGAAGUCUUGAGUGCAGGAGAGGAAAGGGGAAUUCCCAGUGUAGCGGUGAAAUGCGUAGAUAUUGGGAGGAACACCAGUGGCGAAGGCGCCUUUCUGGACUGUGUCUGACGCUGAGAUGCGAAAGCCAGGGUAGCAAACGGGAUUAGAUACCCCGGUAGUCCUGGCCGUAAACGAUGGAUACUAGGUGUAGGAGGUAUCGACCCCUUCUGUGCCGGAGUUAACGCAAUAAGUAUCCCGCCUGGGGACUACGAUCGCAAGAUUGCAACUCAAAGGAAUUGACGG